UACGAAGGGUGCAAGCGUUGCUCGGAAUUAUUGGGCGUAAAGGGGAGGUAGGUGGUCUCGUUUGUCUGGGGUGAAAACCCUAAGCUUAACUUAGGAAGUGCCUCGGAAACGGCGAGACUAGAGUACUGGAGAGGGUAGCGGAAUUCCCGGUGUAGCGGUGAAAUGCGUAGAGAUCGGGAGGAACACCAGAGGCGAAGGCGGCUACCUGGACAGUCACUGACACUCAACUCCGAAAGCGUGGGGAUCAAACAGG
This 253-nucleotide ribosomal RNA is filed under the name uncultured bacterium. RNAcentral describes it as "partial 16S ribosomal RNA". It matches the Rfam family "Bacterial small subunit ribosomal RNA", at positions 524 to 776 of the family's 1533-position model. The record is from RNAcentral.